Molecule: long non-coding RNA, 396 nt
Filed under: Lathyrus oleraceus (garden pea)
Lineage: Eukaryota; Viridiplantae; Streptophyta; Magnoliopsida; Fabales; Fabaceae
Description: Pisum sativum (pea) long non-coding RNA (PSAT_LNC012065)
Source: RNAcentral
UUUGGUAUUUUUUGUGAAUUUUCUCUUUCCUGGUCAUUUUUAAUUCAUUUUAAAUAGGUUUUGAUAUUCAAAAAAUACAAAAAUAUUUUCCCAACCUAUUUGAAUGAUGAUGAAUCUAUGAAAAAUAUUCUCAUCAAUUUUUUAAUUGAUUUGAGAUUUAUUUGAGAUUUUAGUUCAAUUAGGUUAUAUUCAAAAAAUACAAAAAUAUUUUCCCAACCUAUUUGAAUGAUGAUGAAUCUAUGAAAAAUAUUCUCAUCAAUUUUUUAAUUGAUUUGAGAUUUAUUUGAGAUUUUAGUUCAAUUAGGUUAUUUUUUUCAUUUUUAAUUGAUUAAAAAUAGUUUCUGACUUUUAUAAAUGCUGAAAUUUUUUGUCAAACUUUGUUUGACCUUAUUGAAC